AAGGGUUUAGUUUAUUUAAAACAUUAAUUUGUCAAGUUAAAAAAAUUAUUGUAAUAAUUCUUU
This 63-nucleotide transfer RNA is filed under the name Atkinsoniella wui. RNAcentral describes it as "tRNA-Asp". The record is from RNAcentral. Lineage: Eukaryota; Metazoa; Arthropoda; Insecta; Hemiptera; Cicadellidae.